Leptonychotes weddellii (Weddell seal) is the source of this 375-nucleotide long non-coding RNA. RefSeq lists it as uncharacterized. The record is from RefSeq and is a predicted model, not a curated record. Lineage: Eukaryota; Metazoa; Chordata; Mammalia; Carnivora; Phocidae.
CCCCGCCGAGCCAACUGGGGGCUCGGGUACACUGACAGCGGCUUCUAGGGAAUGGAGGGGGGGCGGUGAGAGUGAUUAAGAUGGCGGAUGUGAGCGAGGCCGAGGGCGCGACCAGAGCGUGAGGCGCGCCCGAGGCGGGUGGGAGUCAGGAGGACCGGACGGGAAUCUUGGGACAAGCAAGAUUGCGACAUUCCCUCUCUAUUAGGGAUUGAGACAGCUGUCGCAAUCCUCCCCCACAAACAAAUGGCCCUGGAGAGCAAAUUACCUUUGAGGGCAUCACGUCACCAAAGACUGUCAUCCAGUGCAGAAAAGCAAGAACCGAUGGGGAUACAUAAAGAGAGAGAGAGCACAAGCAGGGGAAGCAGCAGGCAGAGG